AGUCGACAGCUACUGCUUCUGUUCUUCACUAACUGCUCCCUAUUUAUUUGCCAGAAAUGCAAAAAUUCAACCAAGUGCUACCUAGGAACCUCUAUCAGCAAGUACCUAGCAUUCCAGCAGAUGGGGAUGUCUAUACAUAAAAGAGAGGUCUCUGAUCAGUAAUGUGAGACGUGAGACUUUCCCACACUUCACAAUGGUGCAGCCUAAAGAUGGAUUUUCCUUUAUGGGUUAAGACUCAUCUGAAGAUGACUUGUGCUUUCAGAAGAUCCAGAAUCUUAAUAUAUCUUUGCACAGAAAGGUAUGUCACUAAUUGCUAUAUGGAAUAAUUUGGGUUAGACUAGUUAU
Molecule: long non-coding RNA, 345 nt
Filed under: Phascolarctos cinereus (koala)
Lineage: Eukaryota; Metazoa; Chordata; Mammalia; Diprotodontia; Phascolarctidae
Description: lncRNA (ENSPCIG00000034337.1)
Source: RNAcentral